Molecule: long non-coding RNA, 479 nt
Filed under: Mus musculus (house mouse)
Lineage: Eukaryota; Metazoa; Chordata; Mammalia; Rodentia; Muridae
Description: predicted gene 2350
Source: RNAcentral
CCAUUACAGUAAGUGCCUUGCUCCCUGAGGUAAGCCCCAACGUGGGCACAGUGAAGAGCUGUGCCUCAAACCAUCAAUGCCAACACUUGCUAGACUGCAUCAUUCCCACUGGUCCAGGACAGAAGCCAAUCGCCGAAAGCCCAUGAAACAAUUUCAUUCAUUCACAUGUUCAAACUUGGAAAUCUGUUCAGCCCAGAUGAGAGCUUCAGCCUUGGCUUCUAAGAGCCGGAAUACUCCCAAGUCAAUAAAGAUGGAGUGGUCAUGGAGAACUGAUAACCUGUACUUCAUGUUCACCCUCUCACAGAUCAGCAAACUAUACUGGAAGGAAGACUGCCCCUUAUCUCUGUGAAACUUAUGAACCUAGAUUGUGUGGCUUGUUGUUGUUUAAAGAGUGGAAGAAAAUAAAAUGAUAUCACUUGACAUGUAAAAAAUUAAAUUACAUUCAAAUUAUCAGCAUCCCCAAAUACAUUGUUAUUAUU